UGGCGGCUACAGCUGAGUAUGAUCGUGGCUCAAUGAUCCCUACUUGCGUGGGGGUAUUAGUGGGGAACGGGUGAGUAACACGUGAGUAACCUGCCCUUGACUCUGGGAUAAGCCUGGGAAACUGGGUCUAAUACCGGAUAUGACUCCUCAUCGCAUGGUGGGGGGUGGAAAGCUUUUGUGGUUUUGGAUGGACUCGCGGCCUAUCAGCUUGUUGGUGGGGUAAUGGCCUACCAAGGCGACGACGGGUAGCCGGCCUGAGAGGGUGACCGGCCACACUGGGACUGAGACACGGCCCAGACUCCUACGGGAGGCAGCAGUGGGGAAUAUUGCACAAUGGGCGCAAGCCUGAUGCAGCGACGCCGCGUGAGGGAUGACGGCCUUCGGGUUGUAAACCUCUUUCAGUAGGGAAGAAGCGUAAGUGACGGUACCUGCAGAAGAAGCGCCGGCUAACUACGUGCCAGCAGCCGCGGUAAUACGUAGGGCGCAAGCGUUAUCCGGAAUUAUUGGGCGUAAAGAGCUCGUAGGCGGUUUGUCGCGUCUGCUGUGAAAGACCGGGGCUCAACUCCGGUUCUGCAGUGGGUACGGGCAGACUAGAGUGCAGUAGGGGAGACUGGAAUUCCUGGUGUAGCGGUGAAAUGCGCAGAUAUCAGGAGGAACACCGAUGGCGAAGGCAGGUCUCUGGGCUGUAACUGACGCUGAGGAGCGAAAGCAUGGGGAGCGAACAGGAUUAGAUACCCUGGUAGUCCAUGCCGUAAACGUUGGGCACUAGGUGUGGGGGACAUUCCACGUUUUCCGCGCCGUAGCUAACGCAUUAAGUGCCCCGCCUGGGGAGUACGGCCGCAAGGCUAAAACUCAAAGGAAUUGACGGGGGCCCGCACAAGCGGCGGAGCAUGCGGAUUAAUUCGAUGCAACGCGAAGAACCUUACCAAGGCUUGACAUGAACCGGAAAGACCUGGAAACAGGUGCCCCGCUUGCGGUCGGUUUACAGGUGGUGCAUGGUUGUCGUCAGCUCGUGUCGUGAGAUGUUGGGUUAAGUCCCGCAACGAGCGCAACCCUCGUUCUAUGUUGCCAGCGGUUCGGCCGGGGACUCAUAGGAGACUGCCGGGGUCAACUCGGAGGAAGGUGGGGACGACGUCAAAUCAUCAUGCCCCUUAUGUCUUGGGCUUCACGCAUGCUACAAUGGCCGGUACAAAGGGUUGCGAUACUGUGAGGUGGAGCUAAUCCCAAAAAGCCGGUCUCAGUUCGGAUUGGGGUCUGCAACUCGACCCCAUGAAGUCGGAGUCGCUAGUAAUCGCAGAUCAGCAACGCUGCGGUGAAUACGUUCCCGGGCCUUGUACACCCCGCCCGUCAAGUCAGGAACAGUUGGUACCACCGAAAUUGCUCUGGCCUCACCAAGUCGUAACAACGGUACCAUAGAGUCUGCCA
Molecule: ribosomal RNA, 1425 nt
Filed under: Paenarthrobacter nicotinovorans
Lineage: Bacteria; Bacillati; Actinomycetota; Actinomycetes; Micrococcales; Micrococcaceae
Description: bacterial SSU rRNA
Rfam family: Bacterial small subunit ribosomal RNA
Source: RNAcentral